AAAUACAAACAAAUGACGAACAAAAUAGUGGUGAUACUGGAAAACUAGUAUAUCAGAGUGUCGACGUUUAUUAAAAAGAAAUAUCUAUUAUAUAUCAGAAAAACAUGUUGUUAGUUAAUGAAUAUGAAUUAAUGUUUAAUAAAAAAAAUGUAUGUAAACGGGAUAUUAAUAAAGUUUACUAUGUGUCAAAAAUUUAAUGUGCGGCAGUAGUGUUACAAUUCCAUUGUUUUUAAU
Non-coding RNA from Cinara cedri, 234 nucleotides. The record is from the annotation of a GenBank genome assembly. NCBI's taxonomy places the organism in Eukaryota, Metazoa, Arthropoda, Insecta, Hemiptera, Aphididae.